ACGUAGGGUGCGAGCGUUAAUCGGAAUUACUGGGCGUAAAGCGUGCGCAGGCGGAUUGUUAAGCAAGACGUGAAAUCCCCGGGCUUAACCUGGGAAUGGCGUUUUGAACUGGCAGUCUAGAGUGGGUCAGAGGGGGGUGGAAUUCCACGUGUAGCAGUGAAAUGCGUAGAGAUGUGGAGGAACACCGAUGGCGAAGGCGACACCCUGGGCCGUACCUGACGCUAAGACGCGACAGCACGGGGAGCGAACGG
Molecule: ribosomal RNA, 251 nt
Filed under: uncultured prokaryote
Description: partial 16S ribosomal RNA
Rfam family: Bacterial small subunit ribosomal RNA
Source: RNAcentral